GGCUCGGUAGCUCAGUCGGUAGAGCAGGGGAUUGAAAAUCCCCGUGUCGGCGGUUCGAUUCCGUCCCGAGCCAC
RNAcentral lists this transfer RNA (74 nucleotides) under Prosthecobacter gellanilyticus. RNAcentral's name for it is "tRNA-Phe". It matches the Rfam family "tRNA". From Rfam's summary of the family: Transfer RNA (tRNA) molecules are approximately 80 nucleotides in length. Lineage: Bacteria; Pseudomonadati; Verrucomicrobiota; Verrucomicrobiia; Verrucomicrobiales; Verrucomicrobiaceae. The record is from RNAcentral.